RNAcentral lists this ribosomal RNA (510 nucleotides) under uncultured bacterium. RNAcentral describes it as "partial 16S ribosomal RNA". The record is from RNAcentral.
GGAGUUAGCCGGUGCUUCUUCUGCGAGUAACGUCACAGAUGUAAGGUAUUAACUUACACCCUUUCCUCCUCGCUGAAAGUGCUUUACAACCCGAAGGCCUUCUUCACACACGCGGCAUGGCUGCAUCAGGGUUUCCCCCAUUGUGCAAUAUUCCCCACUGCUGCCUCCCGUAGGAGUCUGGGCCGUGUCUCAGUCCCAGUGUGGCUGAUCAUCCUCUCAGACCAGCUAGGGAUCGUCGCCUAGGUGAGCCUUUACCUCACCUACUAGCUAAUCCCACCUGGGCUUAUCCAUCAGCGCAAGGCCCGAAGGUCCCCUGCUUUCCCCCGUAGGGCGUAUGCGGUAUUAGCAGUCGUUUCCAACUGUUAUCCCCACAAAUGGGCAAAUUCCCAGGCAUUACUCACCCGUCCGCCGCUCGUCAUCUUCAAAGCAAGCUUUUGAAAUGUUACCGCUCGACUUGCAUGUGUUAGGCCUGCCGCCAGCGUUCAAUCUGAGCCAUGACUCAAACUCUGA